Molecule: long non-coding RNA, 451 nt
Filed under: Coffea arabica (coffee)
Lineage: Eukaryota; Viridiplantae; Streptophyta; Magnoliopsida; Gentianales; Rubiaceae
Description: long non-coding RNA (CARA_LNC007273)
Source: RNAcentral
UAUCCCUAUCACCAGGUAAGCUAUCAAAUGAGCAUUUCCUAAACAUUGAGCAAAGAUCUUUUAUAUCCUCCAGGUAAGUUGCUAGCUUUAAGUUACUAAAAGCUUGAUACCGUAUGAUAUUUAGAACCUGAAUGCAUGAUGUUCGGAUCUUGAUAUGCUGCCAUCCUUUCUCCUUUAGCUUAUAAAGUGCCAGUUUGAUGGCCAAAAGAUUGUCCUGCACUGCUGAUCCAGUGCUUCUCUCAUUCAGUAUUCAAGCUUCGCAUUUUUUGUUCCAAUUGUUUUGUGUUGCAACUCCAAUUCCCAUAUUUUGGCCUUCCACAUGUUGACCCACUUCCACGCUAAUGUUCAGCAAGUAAUCAUCCUCCCCCAUCCGUUCCUCCUCAUCUUGUACAGUUUCUGUUUCGGACAUGCUCAGCUGAUGUUGUAUUUGUUGUGAUUGGUGAUACUCCUC